Molecule: ribosomal RNA, 416 nt
Filed under: beta proteobacterium W-2028
Lineage: Bacteria; Pseudomonadati; Pseudomonadota; Betaproteobacteria
Description: bacterial SSU rRNA
Rfam family: Bacterial small subunit ribosomal RNA
Source: RNAcentral
CCUUGUCCUUAGUUGCUACGCAAGAGCACUCUAAGGAGACUGCCGGUGACAAACCGGAGGAAGGUGGGGAUGACGUCAAUUCCUCAUGGCCCUUAUGGGUAGGGCUUCACACGUCAUACAAUGGUCGGAACAGAGGGCUGCCAACCCGUGAGGGGGAGCUAAUCCCAGAAAACCGAUCGUAGUCCGGAUCGUAGUCUGCAACUCGACUACGUGAAGCUGGAAUCGCUAGUAAUCGCGGAUCAGCAUGCCGCGGUGAAUACGUUCCCGGGUCUUGUACACACCGCCCGUCACACCAUGGGAGUGGGUUUUACCAGAAGUGGCUAGUCUAACCGCAAGGAGGACGGUCACCACGGUAGGAUUCAUGACUGGGGUGAAGUCGUAACAAGGUAGCCGUAUCGGAAGGUGCGGCUGGAUCA